RNAcentral lists this unclassified non-coding RNA (379 nucleotides) under uncultured Lysobacterales bacterium. RNAcentral's name for it is "uncultured Xanthomonadales bacterium contains 16S-23S intergenic spacer region". Lineage: Bacteria; Pseudomonadati; Pseudomonadota; Gammaproteobacteria; Lysobacterales. The record is from RNAcentral.
UCCGGUUUGUCACCGGCGGUCUCCUUAGAGUUCCCGACUUUACUCGCUGGCAACUAAGGACAAGGGUUGCGCUCGUUGCGGGACUUAACCCAACAUCUCACGACACGAGCUGACGACAGCCAUGCAGCACCUGUGUUCUGGUUCCCGAAGGCACUCCCUGAUCUCUCAAGGAUUCCAGACAUGUCAAGGCCAGGUAAGGUUCUUCGCGUUGCAUCGAAUUAAACCACAUACUCCACCGCUUGUGCGGGCCCCCGUCAAUUCCUUUGAGUUUCAGUCUUGCGACCGUACUCCCCAGGCGGCGAACUUAACGCGUUAGCUUCGAUACUGAAGGGCAAGUUCCCCCCAACAUCCAGUUCGCAUCGUUUAGGGCGUGGACUAC